UGUGCACGUAGGACACCAUCAUGCUUUCGGGGUGCGUGUCUUCAAAUUCCACAAUAAUUAUUUAGUUGUGGACACGACAUCACCGCACUCCCUCUCUUGCUCUUGGUCCUCAUUUUUACAUCAUCAUGAUCACCCACCCAUAUGCCACUGAGUCUGCUGUCCUGCACCUGAUGGUCAACGUACUGAAUACGCCCCAGACAGACAUGGAGGGGGAGGCCUACAAAACAGUUGUCAGUCUCAGUGGAGGGAGGAAUGCCUUGGACAUCAGCAGUGGUCACCAUCUGGUCAAUCGUGGUGGACUGGUCAAGUUCAGUGUUCCCUCUAAACUGGGUGCGCAGUAGCCCGAGACUGCCGUGCAGGGAGAAGAAAUAUUAGCCCAAAGAGAGAGAACUUCACUCAACUUUCUAGAGCAGUGGUCACCAUCCGGUCAAUCGCAGUAGACUGGUCAAGUUCAGUGUUCCCUCUAAACUGGGUGCGCAGUAGCCCGAGACUGCCGUGCAGGGAGAAGAAAUAUUAGCCCAAAGAGAGAGAACUUCACUCAACUUUCU
Long non-coding RNA from Oncorhynchus tshawytscha (Chinook salmon), 548 nucleotides. The record is from Ensembl. Lineage: Eukaryota; Metazoa; Chordata; Actinopteri; Salmoniformes; Salmonidae.